Oryza sativa Japonica Group (Japanese rice) is the source of this 968-nucleotide long non-coding RNA. RefSeq lists it as uncharacterized. NCBI's taxonomy places the organism in Eukaryota, Viridiplantae, Streptophyta, Magnoliopsida, Poales, Poaceae. The record is from RefSeq and is a predicted model, not a curated record.
AUCCCUCCACGAGGUGGUGUGUUGGCGAACCUGCUCUACGUCGCCGUGUCUUCUUGAGCCUUCAACGAGGAGGACACAAAUCCAUGGCACAUCCAUCAACGAGGGUCCGGUCCAUCUUCUCCUCGUCGUCUCAGACUAUCGACUGGGAUGACUGGUGCUGCAGCCAUCCGAGGCACAACUGAAGAGAAAAUUGUAGUCCGUGUGGAUUGAUGCCAAUUGUAUCGCUUGCCUCAAAGAAAAUGUUCGAUUGUGUCUGGUGUGCCAGGACCUCUGUUUAUCUUGGAUAAAGUAAAGUACUAGGAAAUUGUAAACAUCCGAUUGGGAGAUGGAACCACUCGGUGUGGCCAAAUUCUGGAAGUUGAUGGUGAAAGAGGCUGUUGUGCAGGUCUUUGAAGACACUUCAGGAGUGGACAACAAAUACACCAUUGUGCAAUUCACAGUACAAGGGUGGUGCAGCUGAGGGUGGCAGAAGACCAAUCAUCUGGAACAUCUUUGAACAACGAAGCACGCCCGCCCCGUGUGCGUCUUUCACGACAUGCUCUGGUCCCGGGUUUCUUCCUGUGGUCUUCUAGCGUUAGAAGAAGUCGUGUCCGUCCCGGACAUCUGCAACGUCCUCUCACGCCUUUUUUUGGGGGGACAAACAAAGAUCAGGAAAAGACGGACCGAACCCAUUCGGUGACUUUCGCGGUUGCCCUCACUGAACCGACUUGGAUCUGAACUACGAUUCAGAUCAAGUCUUACCGAAAUUGGAUUUCCUUUUCGUGCCAUAUGUCGCUUAGACUUUACUUUUUCCCCUUUCUGUCCUUUCCUCUAUUUGUUCGAUAGGGUCUUCAAUCUGGACCCAGGCAUGUUAAUUACAUCUCUGUUUGGCUCUGCCUUCUAGCUGUGCUAUACUUUCAACACAAAUCAAGUUCAAUUAGGUGUAUUUCAUAUAUAUCUACAAGCAUAAAAUUUGUCCUAUUUAGUAA